RNAcentral lists this transfer RNA (78 nucleotides) under Desulfobacteraceae bacterium. RNAcentral's name for it is "tRNA-Glu". It matches the Rfam family "tRNA". Rfam says of the family: Transfer RNA (tRNA) molecules are approximately 80 nucleotides in length. Their secondary structure includes four short double-helical elements and three loops (D, anti-codon, and T loops). Further hydrogen bonds mediate the characteristic L-shaped molecular structure. tRNAs have two regions of fundamental functional importance: the anti-codon, which is responsible for specific mRNA codon recognition, and the 3' end, to which the tRNAs corresponding amino acid is attached (by aminoacyl-tRNA synthetases). tRNAs cope with the degeneracy of the genetic code in two manners: having more than one tRNA (with a specific anti-codon) for a particular amino acid; and 'wobble' base-pairing, i.e. permitting non-standard base-pairing at the 3rd anti-codon position. The record is from RNAcentral. Lineage: Bacteria; Pseudomonadati; Thermodesulfobacteriota; Desulfobacteria; Desulfobacterales; Desulfobacteraceae. RNAcentral also lists the same sequence under 1 other name.
GUCCCCGUCGUCUAGCCAGGUCAAGGACACAAGCCUUUCACGCUUGCGACACGGGUUCAAAUCCCGUCGGGGACGCCA